This 650-nucleotide long non-coding RNA is filed under the name Cyanistes caeruleus (blue tit). Its description in RNAcentral is "lncRNA (ENSCCEG00000021251.1)". Lineage: Eukaryota; Metazoa; Chordata; Aves; Passeriformes; Paridae. The record is from RNAcentral.
CCCCGUGGCUGGCCUCGGCAGUGAGCUUCCCCCGGACGCCUGUAAGGACGCUUCGGGCUCAAUAUAUAGCCUCGCUUAGGCGGCUUUUUCAGCUCAGGGUGAGGCGCCGGCGCUACCCAGCGCGCAUUGCGGCUUAUGCUGAUUUAGAGCCGCCCAUUCGUCGGAAGGGGGUUGGGGGCGUGUCCCGGUGUGAGGGUUAAAGCGCGGGCUCAUGGGGGGGGGUGGCUCCGCCGUCUGAGGGGCUGUGUUCGGAGCUGGAGUCGCGAGCCUGCGUGGUGGGCAGUGGGGCUGAAACCUGCCCCACUGUGGGGCCCCAGGCUGUGCGGUCUCGAUUUCGGGCUGCUUGGCUCCCAGGACCACAGAGCUGGAAGUGACGGGCCGAGCCCAGGAUGCUGUGCUGGGCCAUCCCUCCCUUUGCACAGUGCUCAUUAACUCCCCUAACGCUCGAGUCAGACGCGGCCUCCGGUUAAAAACAGCAACCGCCCUCGUGCCUCGCCUGUUUCCCAGGAGCUGGCAGCCAGACAAUAACACCGAUGGGAUCAUCCUCAUCAGAAGAUGUCAGCCCCUCUGUAAAAUUUACAUAACUUGAAUUUGGAGUCGGGGCAGGGGGGUGGAGAGGAGGGAAGCAGAUUGAAAAAUAAAGAAUGCUG